Long non-coding RNA from Melospiza melodia melodia, 169 nucleotides. RefSeq lists it as uncharacterized. The transcript is spliced from 3 exons. The record is from RefSeq and is a predicted model, not a curated record. NCBI's taxonomy places the organism in Eukaryota, Metazoa, Chordata, Aves, Passeriformes, Passerellidae.
GGGAAAGCUGUGCUGCAGAUCCUAGAGCUCAGGAGAGACUGGUUUGGGAGGUGACAUUUGAAUGAAAAGGACAAGUGAAGAGGCCCCAGUGGAUUUUUGUGGCCCUCCCUGAGUGAAAAGCAGAGGCCACAACAUCUGAGACUCCACGUUGCAAACUCCUCUGUUUUAU